CCUACGGGAGACAGCAGUGAGGAAUAUUGGUCAAUGGACGAGAGUCUGAACCAGCCAAGUAGCGUGAAGGAUGACUGCCCUAUGGGUUGUAAACUUCUUUUAUAUGGGAAUAAAAUGUUCCACGUGUGGGAUUUUGUAUGUACCAUAUGAAUAAGGAUCGGCUAACUCCGUGCCAGCAGCCGCGGUAAUACGGAGGAUCCGCGCGUUAUCCGGAUUUAUUGGGUUUAAAGGGAGCGUAGGUGGAUUGUUAAGUCAGUUGUGAAAGUUUGCGGCUCAACCGUAAAAUUGCAGUUGAAACUGGCAGUCUUGAGUACAGUAGAGGUGGGCGGAAUUCGUGGUGUAGCGGUGAAAUGCUUAGAUAUCACGAAGAACUCCGAUUGCGAAGGCAGUUCACUGGACUGUAACUGACACUGAGGCUCGAAAGUGUGGGUAUCAAACAGGAUUAGAUACCCUUGUAGUC
This 460-nucleotide ribosomal RNA is filed under the name uncultured bacterium. RNAcentral's name for it is "partial 16S ribosomal RNA". It matches the Rfam family "Bacterial small subunit ribosomal RNA", at positions 338 to 795 of the family's 1533-position model. The record is from RNAcentral.